UUAUCACUUACUCCCUAAGUACCU
RNAcentral lists this non-coding RNA (24 nucleotides) under Arabidopsis thaliana (thale cress). The record is from RNAcentral. Lineage: Eukaryota; Viridiplantae; Streptophyta; Magnoliopsida; Brassicales; Brassicaceae.